GUGUAAAAGGAAGAAAACGUCUCCUGGACCUAAUUGCCACAAUGCUGGUACUACAGUUUAUUCGCACCUGGUUGGAAAAAAAGGGAAUAGUGUUCAAAUCACCGAUGGAACUGGAUGACGCUUCUAUUUCCAGAUGUACGUAACAUUGAUGCAGGAGCAAAUUACAUGGGGGUAUAGACACAAGAUUUUCUUACUGGUGGAGUGUGAACCAAAAAGUGUAGAGGCCACUGGACUAAAGGAGGCCGGCUGAAUCAGUGAAAAUAUUCAAAGCCAGUUUUGUUGUUUUCAGCAGUCAGAAUAUUCCCUGGGCUUUUGAGGCAAUAAAGAAAGCAAGUGAAUGGGUAAGAAGAACUGAAGGACAGUACCCAUCUAUCUGCCCACGGCUUGAACUGGGGAAAGACUGGGACUCUGCCACCAAGCAGUUGCUGGGACUCCAGCCCAUAAACACUGUAUCCCCUCUUCAUAGAGUCCUCCAUUUCAGUCAAGGCUAAGUCAGAUGAAACUGAAUUUUAAACUUUUUGCAUGCUUCUAUGUAGAAAAUAAUCAAAUGAUAGUAGAUACUUAUAAUGAAACUGGAUUAAGGUUUUAUUCAGUGUAGCAAUUAGUGU
Long non-coding RNA from Symphalangus syndactylus (siamang), 608 nucleotides. RefSeq lists it as uncharacterized. NCBI's taxonomy places the organism in Eukaryota, Metazoa, Chordata, Mammalia, Primates, Hylobatidae. The record is from RefSeq and is a predicted model, not a curated record.